RNAcentral lists this long non-coding RNA (1522 nucleotides) under Mus musculus (house mouse). Its description in RNAcentral is "long non-coding RNA chr7:109752325-109753847". Lineage: Eukaryota; Metazoa; Chordata; Mammalia; Rodentia; Muridae. The record is from RNAcentral.
UCCGGGUGCACAAGGCCCGCCACGGUCGCGGCCCCGGGGGUGCACUAAAGGCUGGGGGUCUUCCCCGGCCAGAGCUGGCGAAUCCUGCACCCCAAGGGAGCAGGCCAUGCGGAUCUAGUCCCGCAGGCCGGGUGAACCCCAUCCCCGGGAACUGCGAAGGCCGAGAGGGUGCUGUUCAGGAGACCUGACCAGAAGAGCCCGAGCGUCCUUAGAUCGGAAGCCCACCCGGCGAUGGAGGCUCGAGGCUCCGCACCGGGGCUUCAGUACGAACCUGCGGUCCGUGCGCCUCCAGGACACAGACUCCUGCCCGGCUCCCAACAGUAACUGUGAGCUGUCCACGCGGGUGUGGCUUCCACUAGGGGCUGACAGCCUUGGUCCAGUCUAGGACUGGGAAGUGGGCCACGGCGGCGAAUCUGGGCUGGCUCAAGUCAGGCUUUGCAAGAUGCGGACGCCCCUGGAGCAUCCCCCGCCCAGGACUCCUGGAGGUGGAGAAUCCAGGAGCCAAGCUCCUGUGAGGCAGUGCCUAUUUAAAACAGUUGACCUCUCAGUCAGUUCUGGGAGCGCAGACCCUACUCCAUGGGGUGUCUUUUUCUGUAGAUACUUCAGGAGCACCCUGGAGAGAACAUAGAGCUGCUCAUUAAAAUAUUUUUUCCACUUAGUAGAGACUCUGGGGGUAGAGAAAGGGAUGCAGCGUGCUCAUCACAGCCCUUAGGGAUUUGCUGAAUGUCAUAAGGGAAAAUCACUUCCUUUCAAUAAAAGGGGAUUAAGUUUUAUGAUUUUCAAUUUUUACUUAUAAGACACCCCCACCCCGCCCCUUCAAGUGGUCCUUUCCUGGUUGGUGGAAAUGUCUUUCUUAAUUUACAGGUAGAAAUUUCGCAGCGUUUUUCUGCUAUGUGAUUCUUGUCGAUACUAGACUAGAAUCUAACACAAAGUGCUAUUGCAUUAAAUGUAUUUAGCCCUUUUUUAGUCCUAAAUGGCAACUAGCCCAAAGGACUAGAUGCUUUCGCACCAGUUCUUGUGACAAUCCUGUCACAGUGGGAAUAAUUGUCCUUCUAAGGGGUGUCCUACUAAUCGCAGGGCUGUCAGGAUAAAAUUUGUUGGUGAGGUAUUGUAGAUCAUCCUGUCACAGUGGGGAUAAUUGUCCUUCUAAGGGGUGUCCUACUAAUCGCAGGGCUGUCAGGAUAAAAUUUGUUGGUGAGGUAUUUAGAUCUGAUUGCUAAAAGCUGACUUAGUAGCCAGUUUGGAUCAGUUUAGAGCUGUAUGUCUGACAUGUCCUUCAGAUAAAGCAUAGGAACCCUCCUUCAAAAUUCUUUUCAGAGCCAAUGCUCGUUGGAUGCCUUUGAUCCCAGAGGCAGGCAGAUCUCUGAGACAAGGCCAGUCUGGUCUACAAAGUGAGUUCCAGGACAGGCUACAUGGAGAGACCCUGUGUCACAAAAAGGAGGAGAAAGAGAAAGAGGAGGAGAAGGAAAAUGAGGAAGGAGGAAGAGGAGGAGGAGGAGGAAGAAAGAAAACGAAGAAGGAG